UACGUAGGGUGCAAGCGUUAUCCGGAAUUAUUGGGCGUAAAGAGCUCGUAGGCGGUUUGUCGCGUCUGCUGUGAAAACUGGGGGCUCAACCCCCAGCCUGCAGUGGGUACGGGCAGACUAGAGUGCGGUAGGGGAGAUUGGAAUCCUGGUGUGACGGUGGAAUGCGCAGAUAUCAGGAGGAACACCGAUGGCGGAAGGCCAG
RNAcentral lists this ribosomal RNA (202 nucleotides) under uncultured bacterium. Its description in RNAcentral is "partial 16S ribosomal RNA". It matches the Rfam family "Bacterial small subunit ribosomal RNA", at positions 524 to 725 of the family's 1533-position model. The record is from RNAcentral.